AUGCUCCUCAGGCGCGUCCAAGUGCUUGUACAGUCAGCCAGCAGUGUUUCAAAGAGUACAGAGGGGGACUUGCCGCAGUUUUAAGGAUGGAGAGAUGAAACAAGGGUCUGUUUGGGGCAGAGGACAUCGGUAAUGGAGAGAAGUUCACUUUCAGGCAGGGUGGGCAGGAGGAGCCGCAGGACCUCGAGGAGAACUUCAGCUGACACCUGACUCUGUUUCACCAAUCGAGACGCAAAGUCCAGAAAAUUCCUCAUCAGUCCCUGAGAUAACACUGACAUGAUGGCCCACCUCUCAGCCAACAGCGAGAUGACCUGAUCACACUUGUGGAGUGCCUCCUGGAGGACAGCCACCAUCCUGCA
This is a long non-coding RNA of Sphaeramia orbicularis (orbiculate cardinalfish), 359 nucleotides long. RefSeq lists it as uncharacterized. The transcript is spliced from 3 exons. NCBI's taxonomy places the organism in Eukaryota, Metazoa, Chordata, Actinopteri, Kurtiformes, Apogonidae. The record is from RefSeq and is a predicted model, not a curated record.